UACGUAGGGUGCGAGCGUUAAUCGGAAUUACUGGGCGUAAAGCGUGCGCAGGCGGUUCUCCAAGUCCGUUGUGAAAGCCCGGGCUCAACCUGGGAAUGGCAGUGGAAACUAGGGGACUGGAAUCUGGCAGAGGGGGUGGAAUGCCGCGUGUAGCAGUGAAAUGCGUAGAUAUGCGGAGGAACACCGAUGGCGAAGGCAAUCCCCUGGGCCUGCACUGACGCUCAUGCACGAAAGCGUGGGGAGCAAAC
This 248-nucleotide ribosomal RNA is filed under the name uncultured bacterium. RNAcentral's name for it is "partial 16S ribosomal RNA". It matches the Rfam family "Bacterial small subunit ribosomal RNA", at positions 524 to 773 of the family's 1533-position model. The record is from RNAcentral.